Non-coding RNA from Harpia harpyja (harpy eagle), 300 nucleotides. The record is from the annotation of a RefSeq genome assembly. NCBI's taxonomy places the organism in Eukaryota, Metazoa, Chordata, Aves, Accipitriformes, Accipitridae.
CUGGUCCAGGCAGCGCUGACUCAGCCACCCUCCGUGUCAGCGAACGUGGGACAAACCGUCCAGAUCACCUGCUCCGGGAGCAGCUACAGCUAUGGCUGGUACCAGCAGAAGGUUCCUGGCAGUGCCCCCGUCACUGUGAUCUAUACUAACAACAAGAGACCCUCAGACAUCCCUUCACGAUUCUCCGGAUCCAAUUCUGGCUCCACAGGCACGUUAACCAUCACUGGGGUCCAAGCCGAGGACGAGGCUGUCUAUUACUGUGGUGGCUACGACGGCAGCAGCAGCUAUGGUGUCUGGUGA